RNAcentral lists this ribosomal RNA (252 nucleotides) under uncultured Bacteroidales bacterium. RNAcentral describes it as "partial 16S ribosomal RNA". It matches the Rfam family "Bacterial small subunit ribosomal RNA", at positions 524 to 776 of the family's 1533-position model. Lineage: Bacteria; Pseudomonadati; Bacteroidota; Bacteroidia; Bacteroidales. The record is from RNAcentral.
UACGGAGGAUGCGAGCGUUAUCCGGAUUUAUUGGGUUUAAAGGGUGCGCAGGCGGAAUGUCAAGUCAGCGGUAAAAUUUCGGGGCUCAACCCCGUCGUGCCGUUGAAACUGGCGUUCUUGAGUGAGCGAGAAGUAUGCGGAAUGCGUGGUGUAGCGGUGAAAUGCUUAGAUAUCACGAAGAACUCCGAUUGCGAAGGCAGCUCACUGGACUGCAACUGACACUGAGGCUCGAAAGUGUGGGUAUCAAACAGG